Molecule: transfer RNA, 74 nt
Filed under: Rickettsiales bacterium
Lineage: Bacteria; Pseudomonadati; Pseudomonadota; Alphaproteobacteria; Rickettsiales
Description: tRNA-Trp
Rfam family: tRNA
About the family: Transfer RNA (tRNA) molecules are approximately 80 nucleotides in length. Their secondary structure includes four short double-helical elements and three loops (D, anti-codon, and T loops). Further hydrogen bonds mediate the characteristic L-shaped molecular structure. tRNAs have two regions of fundamental functional importance: the anti-codon, which is responsible for specific mRNA codon recognition, and the 3' end, to which the tRNAs corresponding amino acid is attached (by aminoacyl-tRNA synthetases). tRNAs cope with the degeneracy of the genetic code in two manners: having more than one tRNA (with a specific anti-codon) for a particular amino acid; and 'wobble' base-pairing, i.e. permitting non-standard base-pairing at the 3rd anti-codon position.
Source: RNAcentral
AGGGGCAUAGUUUAAUGGUAGAAUACCGGUCUCCAAAACCGUUAAUGAUGGUUCGAUUCCUUCUGCCCCUGCCA